Peromyscus californicus insignis is the source of this 1627-nucleotide long non-coding RNA. RefSeq lists it as uncharacterized. The record is from RefSeq and is a predicted model, not a curated record. NCBI's taxonomy places the organism in Eukaryota, Metazoa, Chordata, Mammalia, Rodentia, Cricetidae. The transcript is spliced from 3 exons.
CCCACCCCUCCCGAGAGCAGUGCCGGCAGCGCUCGCCUACUAUUUUGAGAACAAAGGAAGGCAAAUUAUAGAAUCCCAGAGAGAGAGAGAGAGGUGGGGAGAAAGAGUGCGGGGGACGCCGAGACCCUUUCGCCUUGCACGCGCAGACACCCACGGACACACACGUGUGCGCGCCACAUCUGGGUCUAUCUACCCUCGGGUGGGUGGGUCACGCGUUUAGGCUCUCUCGUGGACCUGCUGUUGUGUGCGCCAGAGUCCAGGUGCCCAGGAGAGGUUCGAGUCAGGAUAUAACGUCCUACUGGGUUUGAGGGACUACCUUCCUCCCACCACCCGAGACUCAGCACCGCAGGCGGGUCCGCCCACCUGCCUUCCACCGCAGGGUCCAGCGCAGCCCUGGGGCCAGAGCGCGAGACUCUCCUCCCGGAAGCAGGGACACCCUGCCCUUUCUCCUCCAGCUGUGCCCCCCUGCGGGUGGAGGAAACCCCGCAGGGAUCCAUCCUACUUCCCGAGGUUCGCCCCAACCCUGGGCGGAGGAUGGGCUGGACACUACCGGUGUGUGGUCUAAGAGGGAGCCUCCUCUUAGAAGGUCGAUUGAUUUGGGAAAGUCUGAGGACCCGGUUGCUGUCUGGCCAGUCAUUGAGGAUGCAGCUAGGAACAAGAAAAACUCUAUAUUCACGGACAGGAGAACAAUGGUUUCUCACCUGGUCUGAAACCUGUCAAGGGAAUGAGAAUGACUGGACAGCAAGCCCUAAGAGUCUUCCUGUGUGUGCCUGCGCAGUGCUGGAAUUCAAAGCAUGUGUCACCAUGCCCAGUUUUUGUUUGUUUGUUUUGUCUUAUCGUGGCUCUGGGGAUCAAACUCAGGUCCUCAUGUGUUCAUAACAAGUACUUUACCAACUCAGUCAUCUCUUCAAGCCUAUUUUAACUUCUUUGUGUGCGUAGGGCUUGAGGCCUUAUGCAUGACAAGAACUGUACAGCUGUGCUGAAUCCUUGGCUUUCAAUUUCUUCUGAAACAGAAUAAAAAGACUCCCAGUCCCCCUAAAGGAAACAAAGGUCAUUUAUUGGAUUGCUUGUUGAAGGAUGUGGUGGUGAGGGCUGAUUUGGACUGGAUGGCCAUCAGGAGCCCAGCUCUCUCCAUCAAAUGUCUUUGUUACUAUUUGCCUCUUCUCGGAGCUAACUGGCUAAAACGUCUGAAGGAAGUAGGGCUGGGAAUGGAGUUCAGUGGUAGAGCACUUCUUAAAUUCAUGGAGACCUGGGUUCCAUCCUCCACACCAGCAAACAAGUGAACGUCUGCAGGAAGCAGCCUCAUAGUUCCACCACCGCUGCUCCCGUGCAGACUAUUUCUCCAUAUUGUGGCAUUCUGUGGCUUAAACAACAGCCUUUGGAUGGGAACUUAGCUCUUCAUCCAACUAGAGGCCAUGUUUAAACAAGGAACAAUGCCAACACCUUCCCUGGCUAGGAGGCUCUGAGUAAGGUGGUGUGAGUUCCAAGGGGGUAUUGGGUAACCAGCAUUUAUAUUGCUCUUUCUACGUGGGUAAAGGAAAGAUCUUUUUAUGUGUGUCAAAGAUGGCUAAGUACAAAUACAAGAAUGGUUUUUCCUUUUUUAACUCCAAAACUGCACUUUGCAUUG